GACGAACGCUGGCGGCGUGCUUAACACAUGCAAGUCGAACGGAAAGGCGCGGCUCUUGUGGGGUGCUCGAGUGGCGAAGGGGGGAGUAACACGUGAGUAAACUGCACUUGACAGUGGGAGAACAUCAGGAAAAUGGGGAGAAUAUCGGAGAGGAGCUACUGAUGCAUGGGGGGGGUUGGAAAGAGUCGGCGGUUGGGGAUGGAUUCGCGGGUUAUGAGCUGGUUGGUGGGGUAGUGGCGUCCCAAGGCUUUGAAGGGUAGGCGGCCUUGGAGCGUGGCCGGCCACAUUGCGACUGCGAUACGCCCCAGACUCCUACGGUCGGCAGCAGUCGGGAAUAUUGCACAAUGGGCCGACGCCUGAUGCAGCAAUGCCCCGUUCGGGAUGCCGUCCUUCUGGUUGUAAACCGCUUUCGCCUGUGACGUACCCUUCUUGACGGUACUGAGUCAAGAAGCACCGGCUAACUACGUG
RNAcentral lists this ribosomal RNA (468 nucleotides) under uncultured bacterium. RNAcentral's name for it is "partial 16S ribosomal RNA". It matches the Rfam family "Bacterial small subunit ribosomal RNA", at positions 28 to 507 of the family's 1533-position model. The record is from RNAcentral.